CCGGCGACCGGCGGACGGGUGCGUAACGCGUAUGUAACCUACCUUUGACAGGGGGAUAACAUCGAGAAAUUGAUACUAAUACCCCAUAACAUCACCGGAGGCAUCUUCGGUGGUUGAAAACUCAGGUGGUCAGAGAUGGACAUGCGUUGUAUUAGCUAGUUGGUGAGGUAACGGCUCACCAAGGCGACGAUACAUAGGGGGACUGAGAGGUCAACCCCCCACAUUGGUACUGAGACACGGACCAAACUCCUACGGAAGGCAGCAG
This 265-nucleotide ribosomal RNA is filed under the name uncultured bacterium. RNAcentral describes it as "partial 16S ribosomal RNA". It matches the Rfam family "Bacterial small subunit ribosomal RNA", at positions 88 to 354 of the family's 1533-position model. The record is from RNAcentral.